Molecule: ribosomal RNA, 433 nt
Filed under: uncultured bacterium
Lineage: Bacteria
Description: bacterial SSU rRNA
Rfam family: Bacterial small subunit ribosomal RNA
Source: RNAcentral
AGCGAACGCUGGCGGCAGGCUUAACACAUGCAAGUCGAACGCCCGGGCAACCGGGAGUGGCAGACGGGUGAGUAACACGUGGGAACGUACCCUUUGGUUCGGAAUAACUCAGGGAAACUUGAGCUAAUACCGGAUAAGCCCUUAUGGGGAAAGAUUUAUCGCCGAAGGAUCGGCCCGCGUCCGAUUAGCUAGUUGGUGAGGUAAUGGCUCACCAAGGCGACGAUCGGUAGCUGGUCUGAGAGGAUGAUCAGCCACACUGGGACUGAGACACGGCCCAGACUCCUACGGGAGGCAGCAGUGGGGAAUAUUGGACAAUGGGGGCAACCCUGAUCCAGCCAUGCCGCGUGAGUGAUGAAGGCCCUAGGGUUGUAAAGCUCUUUCGGCGGGGACGAUAAUGACGGUACCCGCAGAAGAAGCCCCGGCUAACUUCGUG